This 497-nucleotide ribosomal RNA is filed under the name uncultured bacterium. Its description in RNAcentral is "partial 16S ribosomal RNA". It matches the Rfam family "Bacterial small subunit ribosomal RNA", at positions 899 to 1397 of the family's 1533-position model. The record is from RNAcentral.
ACUCAAAGGAAUUGACGGGGGCCCGCACAAGCGGAGGAGCAUGUGGUUUAAUUCGAUGAUACGCGAGGAACCUUACCUGGGCUUGAAAGUUAGUGACCGCUCCUGAAAGGGAGCCUUCCGCAAGGACACGAAACUAGGUGCUGCAUGGCUGUCGUCAGCUCGUGCCGUGAGGUGUUGGGUUAAGUCCCGUAACGAGCGCAACCCCUAUCAUUAGUUGCCAUCAGGUAAAGCUGGGGACUCUAAUGAGACUGCCCGCGCAAGCGGUGAGGAAGGUGGGGAUGACGUCAAGUCAUCACGGCCCUUACGUCCAGGGCUACACACGUGCUACAAUGGUAGAUACAGCAGGUUGCCACAUGGUAACAUGGAGCUAAUCCCAAAAGUCUAUCUCAGUUCGGAUUGAGGUCUGCAACUCGACCUCAUGAAGCUGGAUUCGCUAGUAAUCGGAAAUCAGCAAUGUUCCGGUGAAUACGUUCCCGGGCCUUGUACACACCGCCCGU